ACUCCUCGAAUAAUACGUUUUCCUAACGUUAGAACCUUCCAGUUUAGAUCCUGUUGGCUGGGUGAGUGUGAGGUCAUCUGGGACCCUGUCCUGGCUUUUCUUUGCGUUCUUUUCCUCUUCCUUUCCUUCUCACUAAAGUUCCUGAGAAGGUAUGGGAGUGCGGGGGUGGGGGUGGGAGGCGCGCAGCAGGGUGGGGGCGCAGUUGGGACUGGUACCCCCAAAUUAGGGACUGCUCGCUUGGGUAGGGCAGCGCCAGCCCCACCCUACCCCACAGUGGGAAGCAAAGGUUUUUCGGUCCCCUGUUAGCGUUAGAGAGCACGUGUUUCCAGGUGCUAGUGGAGAGGGGCUGGGACCCGGAACUGAAGGUUGAGGGCAUCUUCCUUGGGUGUCUCACAGCCCCCAGAGCUGGGCUGGCGCCACUGUGCGCAGGCAAGGCUGCAGUUCAUCAACCCUGAACAUGACAAGAGGCGGGCAGCGUCCAGUUUCUUAAAGCCAGGAAGGAAAUUCUUUUAAAAUGCUGGGAAAAAUGUAAGAAUGUGUUCCCCCAAAGUAGGGUCAGGAGGUCCCAAAGGGGACCGGUGUCUCAUUGUGUGAAAUGAUCUCUAGAAAUUAGAAAUACGGACCUUGUGGGAGCCCAGGGAGGGAACCAAGGGAGGGCACCAAGGGAGGGCACCAAGGAUGGGAAUGAGUGCCGAGGAAAGGAGGUCGCAGUCUUGGGGGAAGAAGAGGAGCCAUUCGUUUUAAGUUAGGAGCAGAUCUGGUGCAUCUGAACCAGCCCUGGCGUGUAAGACAGUAAGGAACUGGCCCCAGCGUGUAAGACAGUAAGGAACCGUGGCAGUUACCACCCAUCAGUAACCAUGAGGAUCCCCAGUCACUGCACUCUUGGCACUUGUUUAUGUAAUCUUCAAUUCUCAGAAAAUGCUGCCGGAUAAUAUAUCAUAAUCUUGUUGUGUUCUCUGUGCAUCUCUCAGCCUCAGUUUUCUUUAUCUUUAAAACUGGAAUGCUCAUGGCUAUCUUCCAGUAUUGCUGGGAGAAUUGAAUUUAAGAAUAUCUCCACAUGCCUGGCAUCUAUGUUUGUGAAAUUAUUGUUGAAUGGAGCAGCAGAUAAGGAUAUGAAAGAUAUUUUUGAUCAAGUAUUUCAUUUGGCAGUUGUAUUGAGUGCUUGCCGCCUUCUGGCCUGAGACAAACAGAAACAAAAUAUAGCCUGAUUUUUGGAUGCUCACAAUGUAAUGGGAAAUAUAGACAAAAAAUUCAAUGAUCAGACAAAACGGUUAUUUAUUUAUUUAUUUAUUUUCUUUUUAGGGCUGCACCCGCAGCAUAUGGAGGUUCCCAGGAUAGGGAGCCGUAGCUGCUGGUCUGUGCCACAGCCACAGCAACGCCAGAUCCGAACCACGUCUGUGACCUACACCACAGUUCACAGCAACGCUGAAUCCCCAACCCACUGAGCGAGGCCAGGGAUCGAACCUCCGUCCUCAUGGAUACUAUUUAGAUUCGUUUCCUCUGAGCCACAAUGGGAACUCCACAAGGCAGUUAUUGAUUAGAAUUUAGUAUUAUAUAUUUUAGGUUAGGAUGUUAGAAACAUGCUUCUAAAACCAGGAGUCAUACGCGUGAACUCUUAAAAGGAGCAGGUGAGGAUUGGGGGGUGUGUGUGUGUGUGUGUGUGUGUGAAAAUUCUAUAUUGCCAGGAAAAUAUGCCUGUGGGAUGACACUGGACAGGCAGAAGCUAAAUCAUGUCAGCUUUCUAAGAAGUUUAAUUUUAUGCUAAGGUAAUGGGGAGCCUUUGUGGGAUUUUAUGGAAGACGUACUCUGUUCGGAUUUCUGGUUUAGAAACACUCCAUAGGCAAUGGUGCGGAAGAGAGAGGCGCAAUAUCAGAUGCAGGGGGAGUUCGGAACUAGGACGAGGGAGUAUAAAAAUAGUCCUUUGAAAUAGCUCUGGGGGCAGAUGCUGAGCCCAGAUUUUCUGGCUUCCCAUUUUCUAGCUUUAUGGCCAUGGACAAUUUACCUGGCCUCUUGGCAUCUCAGUUUUCUCAUCUGUGAAAUGGGGAUAAAGACAGCAAGUACCUCAUAGGAUUGAUGUGACAACUGAAAGAGUUAAUAGACACAGAAAACAGCACAAUGUCUGCCACAUGAGGGUCCAAAUAAAUGUUAGUUUGUUGUUGCCGAUAUUGUUAUUAUUAAUGUGUUAGUGCAAAGAGACAUGACGCGUGUCUGAGCUGAGGCGGGGGCCUUGGAGAGAGAAGGACGGAGAUGGUGUCAAGGAAAUGACAUUGAAAGGUCUUCCUAACAGAAUGUGUAGAGGUGGAUUUAAAAGCAAUGGCAGGGCAGAGGGCCUGUUUGAACUCACCGUGUGGGUGAGGGAGGGCUGGAUUCAAAGCUGCUCCGGGUGACAUUCUUCCUUUUCGUUGUUUUAGACUAGGUUGCACUGUUGCUGCCAUCCUGAACGUCCUUGUCUACCUUCUGGGCUCAGAUUCUCAUCCACCAACACAGGUGUACAAGAAAUGGACAGGGCUUUCUCCUCCUCUAGCUCAACCCACGUUCUGUUGUCGCGCCUCCCCCUGGGAUGGCAGAAACAUAAUUUCAGUUAAAUUGGCAUUUCUCCUUCCUUUUCCCACAGUAGUGCCUGUGUUCUAGGAGUGGCGGGGUGUGAGGUUGGCAUCAUCGGGCCACACUGACAUCUUCUGGGGCCACUGUCACCUCAGUGGAUGCUCAGUCAGCUCCCAGGCUCAUUCCUAAAGCCCCCUGUGGUUCGGGCUCUUCCUCUGGGGCAGCAGCUCUCAUUCUGCUGCUCGGUCAGGUGUUGCCAGGACACGCUGGGGAAUGGAAAACCCUGGAAGAUGUCAGAGUCACUGGGUACCCUCUUGGACACAAUGAGGGCAUCCCGUGGUUUCUCUACCACCUUGGGGAUGUGGGCAAGGCUGUUGAAGGUGCUCGUUCUCCCCCAGGCUCUUCCCACCCGCAGGACUUCACCUCCACUCUUGCUUCUCCUAAAUCCCGUAGAUUCCCGCAGAUCUCAAUUCAGCUUGCGGGAUGGGGCGAGGAAGUGCAGACGCCCUUCUCCCAAGGACCCCAAGCUUCUGCGCUCUUGUCUUUUCCUCUCAGCUCUGCUCUCCUUCCACCCUCCAGGCCUGAAGGCAGGUUCUUAUUUUCUUUUAUAUUUUUUUUUCAGAUUUUUUUCCAUUACAGGUUAUGACAAGAUACUGACUCUGUGUCCCUGUGCUAUACCGUAAAUCCUCACUGCUUAUCUCCUUUAUGCAGAGUAGUUUGUACCUGCUAAUCCCAUACUCCUAAUUUAUCCCGCCCUGCCUCCCUUGGGCGAUCACAAGUUUGUUUUCUAGGUGCCAGCUGCUGAUUUUUGUUUCUUUUCUUCUUUUUCUUUUUUUCUGAAAACUGCUGGGUGUCUGUUCAGUUCCCCCCAGGGCCCAGGUUUUGAAACUUAAAAGCUACGAGUCUCUUUUUAAAUCUGCUUUCUUCUGUAACAGCCCUUCCCAGAGGCGACGAGGGAGGGAAAGUUUUAAAAGCUGGGACAGGGUCAAAGAAAAAUAAUCUGUGAAUUCUUCACAGAUAUUAUUCCAGCACAUCUUAAACAGAGUCAUCCGGCGAUAACCUGCCAUCGCUUUUGUCUUUAGUCUUUGAAAGUCUUUUAUCUUCCCUCUAGUUGACAGAUAUGUUGUGUGUAAUUUUGGUGGUCAUGUGAUUGAUGGAUGCUGGACGUGUAGGCAAGUGCUGGAUAUCCCUGAUGCAGAAAUCUCUCAAAGGGACGAUGAAGACACCAGUUUAUGCCUCAUUUCUUCAUGUGCCAUCUGGCUAGUGCCCCCUUUUUCCUCUCAAAACUGUCAUGGUUUGGACAAUAAGUUAUGUGGUUACCCUCUUUCUAGUUUAUAGAAGCUUGUUAAAAUAUUCCCCUUCGAAGCUAGGCUAGAGACACCGAAAGCCUUAAUUACCCAAGGUUUUUCUGAAUGUCAAAGUCAGUGCAGUCAACUCAAGAGUCAGAGAUUGAGAAGGAUCUUUUGUUUGCUUGUUUGUUUGUUUGUUUUGGGGCCACACCUCUGGCAUUUGGAAGUUCCCAGCCUAGGGGUCAAAUCAGAGCUGCAGCUGCCACAGCUACAGCAACGUGGGAUCCCAGUCGGCAUCUGUGACCUACACCAUGGCUCAUGGCAGUGCCGGAUCCUUAACCCACUGAAUGGAGCCAGGGAUCGAACCCGUAUCCUCACGGAUACCAGUGGAGUUCAUUACCAUUGAGCCACAACCGGAACCCCUGGAUCUUUGUUUUUAAAUCUAGGAUGACGUAAGACAAUGGAUACUUUGAUAUAAACAUCAUAAUUGCAAUAUGUAUAUAAAUAAGUGUGUGUUAUUUAGUUAUUUCACCUUUUGUUUCAUGAUCCACAUUUAUCACUGUGGUUUUAUAAACUUUUGUCCUUUCAGCUUGUUUCAAAGAGCAUCUCAAAUCAUCAGUGGUUCUACGCUUUGUAUCAAGGUAGAGUUCUUAAUUAUCCAUGAGUAGAAUACAAAUAUAUGCCCCCAGAUAAAACCCUCCUUUCAAACACUCUGUGAUCGUCCACUAAGACAAUUUCUAGUCAAAUUACCAGACUUGGAUAUGUUUUCCAUAGAUAGCAUAUAUGUCUGUGUGUUUGUAUCCCAUGAAGCUGAUUCAAUUCCGAAAAGACCCGACGCCACGGUGAUUUCCAGGAAACACAGAUCCCCUGCCCUUGGCCCUGCUCCCUGAAGCACCUCUUACCUUUUGAAGAGUUGGCAGGGAUGCUCAGGGAGUCAGCAGGUCAACCAGUCGUCCUAGAACCUAAUGAACUCACUCUAUGGCUUAGAAUAACCCUGCCUUCUUUCAUUUCUUCUUGUUGCUGGAAGGUUGUCCCUGGAAACCUUUACUGUCAUGUAUGGAAUGCUGUUUUUCAGCUUUCUUCUUAGGAAAUGUAGUUCUUUUAUUUUCAUUAAUAAAUAAACUUUUUUGU
This 4964-nucleotide long non-coding RNA is filed under the name Sus scrofa (pig). RNAcentral describes it as "lncRNA (ENSSSCG00040070200.1)". Lineage: Eukaryota; Metazoa; Chordata; Mammalia; Artiodactyla; Suidae. The record is from RNAcentral.